AACGAACGCUGGCGGCAGGCCUAACACAUGCAAGUCGAGCGCGCCCGUCAGGGUGAGCGGCGGACGGGUGAGUAACGCGUGGGAACGUGCCCUUUUCUACGGAAUAGCCUCGGGAAACUGAGAGUAAUACCGUAUACGCCCUUUGGGGGAAAGAUUUAUCGGAAAAGGAUCGGCCCGCGUUGGAUUAGGUAGUUGGUGGGGUAAUGGCCUACCAAGCCGACGAUCCAUAGCUGGUUUGAGAGGAUGAUCAGCCACACUGGGACUGAGACACGGCCCAGACUCCUACGGGAGGCAGCAGUGGGGAAUCUUAGACAAUGGGGGCAACCCUGAUCUAGCCAUGCCGCGUGAGUGAUGAAGGCCUUAGGGUUGUAAAGCUCUUUCAGCUGGGAAGAUAAUGACGGUACCAGCAGAAGAAGCCCCGGCUAACUCCGUG
Molecule: ribosomal RNA, 433 nt
Filed under: uncultured bacterium
Lineage: Bacteria
Description: partial 16S ribosomal RNA
Rfam family: Bacterial small subunit ribosomal RNA
Source: RNAcentral